UCCCUGGAGGACUAGUGGUUAGGCCCCAGUGCUCUCACCGCCGCAGCCUGGGUUCAAUUCCUGGCCGGGGAA
This 72-nucleotide transfer RNA is filed under the name Pangasianodon gigas (Mekong giant catfish). RNAcentral describes it as "tRNA-Glu". It matches the Rfam family "tRNA". From Rfam's summary of the family: Transfer RNA (tRNA) molecules are approximately 80 nucleotides in length. Their secondary structure includes four short double-helical elements and three loops (D, anti-codon, and T loops). The record is from RNAcentral. Lineage: Eukaryota; Metazoa; Chordata; Actinopteri; Siluriformes; Pangasiidae.